RNAcentral lists this ribosomal RNA (787 nucleotides) under uncultured bacterium. RNAcentral's name for it is "bacterial SSU rRNA". It matches the Rfam family "Bacterial small subunit ribosomal RNA", at positions 8 to 796 of the family's 1533-position model. The record is from RNAcentral.
AGAGUUUGAUCCUGGCUCAGAUUGAACGCUGGCGGCAUGCCUAACACAUGCAAGUCGAGGGGUAUAUGUCUUCGGAUAUAGAGACCGGCGCACGGGUGCGUAACGCGUAUGCAAUCUACCUUUUACAGGGGAAUAGCCCAGAGAAAUUUGGAUUAAUGCCCCAUAGUAUUAUGAAAUGGCAUCAUUUUAUAAUUAAAGUCACAACGGUAAAAGAUGAGCAUGCGUCCCAUUAGUUAGUUGGUAAGGUAACGGCUUACCAAGACAAUGAUGGGUAGGGGUCCUGAGAGGGAGAUCCCCCACACUGGUACUGAGACACGGACCAGACUCCUACGGGAGGCAGCAGUGAGGAAUAUUGGACAAUGGGCGCAAGCCUGAUCCAGCCAUGCCGCGUGCAGGAAGACGGUCCUAUGGAUUGUAAACUGCUUUUAUACAGGAAGAAACACUCCGACGUGUCGGAGCUUGACGGUACUGUAGGAAUAAGGAUCGGCUAACUCCGUGCCAGCAGCCGCGGUAAUACGGAGGAUCCAAGCGUUAUCCGGAAUCAUUGGGUUUAAAGGGUCCGUAGGCGGUUUAAUAAGUCAGUGGUGAAAUCUGGUCGCUCAACGAUCAAACGGCCAUUGAUACUGUUAGACUUGAAUUAUAAGGAAGUAACUAGAAUAUGUAGUGUAGCGAUGAAAUGCUUAGAUAUUACAUGGAAUACCAAUUGCGAAGGCAGGUUACUACUUAUGGAUUGACGCUGAUGGACGAAAGCGUGGGGAGCGAACAGGAUUAGAUACCCUGGUAGUCC